This 1450-nucleotide ribosomal RNA is filed under the name metagenome. RNAcentral describes it as "bacterial LSU rRNA". It matches the Rfam family "Bacterial large subunit ribosomal RNA", at positions 1449 to 2925 of the family's 2925-position model. The record is from RNAcentral.
UAUGAACAGAACUGUGGGGACGCAUGUGGAGAGCACGAGCCGGGAAUGGAAAUACCGUACAAGCGGAGAAGGAGUCUGGUUGGCAAAUCCGCCAGGCAAUCCGAAGACGUGAUGUGGAGCGAAUUAGAGUAGCGAAGCGUGUGAGCCAUGUGCCGAGAAAAGCCGCUAUUGUUUCAUGUGUGCCCGUACCGUAAACCGACACAGGUGGAUGAGGAGAGAAUCCUAAGGCCGGCGGAAGAAGCAUUGUUAAGGAACUCGGCAAAAUGACCCCGUAACUUCGGGAGAAGGGGUGCCUGCUAACGCAGGCCGCAGAGAAUAGGCUCAAGCAACUGUUUAGCAAAAACACAGGUCUAUGCGAAACCGAAAGGUGAAGUAUAUGGGCUGACGCCUGCCCGGUGCUGGAAGGUUAAGAGGAGAGGUUAGCGCAAGCGAAGCUUUGAAUUUAAGCCCCAGUAAACGGCGGCCGUAACGAUAACGGUCCUAAGGUAGCGAAAUUCCUUGUCGGGUAAGUUCCGACCCGCACGAAAGGCGUAAUGAUUUGAGCACUGUCUCGACAAUGCAACCGGUGAAAUUGAAUUACCAGUGAAGAUGCUGGUUACCCGCGCCAGGACGGAAAGACCCCAUGGAGCUUUACUCCAGUUUGGUACUGGGAUUCGGUACUGCAUGUACAGGAUAGGUGGGAGACUAAGAACUUGGGACGCCAGUUUCAAGGGAGUCGCUGUUGGGAUACCACCCUUGCAGUAUUGGAUUUCUAACCGGCCGCCGUGAUCCGGCGGUGGGACAAUGCCAGGCGGGGAGUUUGACUGGGGCGGUCGCCUCCGAAAGGGUAUCGGAGGCGCUCAAAGGUUCCCUCAGAAUGGUUGGAAACCAUUUGAAGAGUGCAAAGGCAGAAGGGAGCUUGACUGCGACACCGACGGGUGGAGCAGGUAGGAAACUAGGACUUAGUGAUCCGGUGGCAUAAAGUGGGAUUGCCAUCGCUCAACGGAUAAAAGCUACCCUGGGAUAACAGGCUUAUCACUCCCAAGAGUUCACAUCGACGGAGUGGUUUGGCACCUCGAUGUCGGCUCAUCGCAUCCUGGGGCUGUAGCAGGUCCCAAGGGUUGGGCUGUUCGCCCAUUAAAGCGGUACGCGAGCUGGGUUCAGAACGUCGUGAGACAGUUCGGUCCCUAUCCGGCGCGGGCGGAGGAUAUUUGAGAGGAGCUGUCCUUAGUACGAGAGGACCGGGAUGGACGGACCACUGGUGUAUCUGCUGUCGACCAACGGCAUGGCAGAGUAGCCAAGUCCGGAAGGGAUAAACGCUGAAGGCAUCUAAGCGUGAAGCCCCCCUCAAGAUGAGAUAUCCCUCACAUAAGUGAGUAAGAUCCCUUGAAGACUACAAGGUAGAUAGGGCAGAGGUGGAAGCACGGUAACGUGUGGAGCUGACUGUUACUAAUCGAUCGAGGGCUUGAUC